GCUCAAAAUGCAAGAUGUGUUUCCCUUUUCCACACCCCAGGGAUGGUUCUUGCCUUAGAAGCAAGUCCUGUGCACUGCUGGUCAUGCUUAGAAUGCUCAUACCAUUUCCUUCAGUGCACAUUUAGAAAACAAUGAGCUACUUGCUUUGAAGACCAAGAUAAGAAACACCAAAAUCAGCUUCAUCUGCUCUUUGAAAAUGGUUCUGUGGCUUGCAAGGUUCACUGGCUAAUUCCCCAACACCUCCAAAGCCAGAAGAUUCUUCAAUUCCUGAAGGACUUGCAUUCUUGACUUCCAGAAGUCUGGAUUUCCCAAAAGAAGACAGAUUUCCCAAAAGUGCACUCAGCUAAGGAAGACAUCUUGCAUGCAGUAGUCACACAUACCCAAGGCUUGAGAGAGACAGUACCUGUGAUUGCAAUGUAAUAACCAGCUGUGAAAACUCGCACCUUUAAAAAUGGACAAAGAACAAGGCAUCUUGUUCAAGAUGAGUUGAGAAUGUUAUAGGAAUAUUUUCUCAACAUCUGCAAAGGCAGAUUACACUUUCUGUCCUCAUGUCUCCUUCACACAGACAUUCUCCAUCCACUUCAGCACCACCUACAUUCUACAAGAAGAUGCCAUCCUAUGGAUCUUACUGAGAAUUGCCCAAACUAAAAAGAAGAACUGUGAACACACAGCAGAAAAAAAAUGGGAAUAAAUUCCAAGGUAUUCUAAACUUUCUGAAUAAAAUGUACUGGGGUUUUUGCAUGCCAAAUCUGGUUGUUUGGUAGCAGAAAACAUAUACUCCAAGGACGAAUGUUAAAUAUCACUGCCAACUAAUUAUCUUUAUCUGGUAUCCAUGAAAGCAAAGUUAGUAGAAAAGAAUGAAAGUGAAGCCCACGCAGGAAAUAACAUGAUGAAUGGAUCCUAUAGGAAUAAAAAAGGCUGCUUCAUGUCUUCUGAGAAAAAUUUGAAGUUCCUACUGGCACAUUGAUUCUUCCGUGUGCACUUGCACUUGUCUGUAGGAAAUCUCCAUAUG
RNAcentral lists this long non-coding RNA (1012 nucleotides) under Cairina moschata (Muscovy duck). RNAcentral's name for it is "domestica (muscovy Duck (domestic type)) lncRNA (ENSCMMG00000003189.1)". Lineage: Eukaryota; Metazoa; Chordata; Aves; Anseriformes; Anatidae. The record is from RNAcentral.